Molecule: transfer RNA, 72 nt
Organism: Tulasnella calospora
Lineage: Eukaryota; Fungi; Basidiomycota; Agaricomycetes; Cantharellales; Tulasnellaceae
Rfam family: tRNA
About the family: Transfer RNA (tRNA) molecules are approximately 80 nucleotides in length. Their secondary structure includes four short double-helical elements and three loops (D, anti-codon, and T loops).
Source: Rfam
UCCGGUAUAGUGUAAUGGCUAUCAUACCGCUCUCUCACAGCGGUGAUCUGGGUUCAAUUCCCAGUGCCGGAA